Molecule: ribosomal RNA, 249 nt
Filed under: uncultured bacterium
Lineage: Bacteria
Description: partial 16S ribosomal RNA
Rfam family: Bacterial small subunit ribosomal RNA
Source: RNAcentral
CAUGCCGUAAACGAUGAUAGCUAGAUGUGUGCGGUAUUGACCCCGUACGUGUCGAAGCAAACGCGAUAAGCUAUCCGCCUGGGGAGUACGGUCGCAAGAUUAAAACUCAAAGGAAUUGACGGGGGCCCGCACAAGCGGUGGAGCAUGUGGUUUAAUUCGACGCAACGCGAAGAACCUUACCUAGGCUUGACAUGUAUAGAAGUCCUUGGAAACUUGGAUGUGCUCGCAAGAGAGCUAUAACACAGGUGC